RNAcentral lists this transfer RNA (82 nucleotides) under Perkinsus marinus ATCC 50983. It matches the Rfam family "tRNA". From Rfam's summary of the family: Transfer RNA (tRNA) molecules are approximately 80 nucleotides in length. Their secondary structure includes four short double-helical elements and three loops (D, anti-codon, and T loops). Lineage: Eukaryota; Perkinsozoa; Perkinsida; Perkinsidae. The record is from Rfam by way of RNAcentral.
GAUGGUGUGGCUGAGUGGUUAAGGAGAUGGACUAGAAAUCCGUAGGGUUCGGUAUGCGUAGGUUCGAACCCUGUUGCCGUCA